GAGUUUGAUCAUGGCUCAGAACGAACGCUAGCGGCGUGCUUAACACAUGCAAGUCGUACGAGAAAUCCCGGGCAACUGGGAGAGUAAAGUGGCGCACGGGUGAGUAACACGUGGGUAAUCUACCUUGGAGUUUGGAAUAACACCUCGAAAGGGGUGCUAAUACCGAAUAUCGUCCCUGGAGUUUCGGCCCUAGGGAUGAAAGAUGGCUGAGGCUUGCAAGCUAUUGCUCCAAGAUGAGCCCGCGUACCAUUAGCUAGUUGGUGGGGUAAUGGCCCACCAAGGCUAUGAUGGUUAGCUGGUCUGAGAGGAUGGCCAGCCACACUGGAACUGAGAUACGGUCCAGACUCCUACGGGAGGCAGCAGUGAGGAAUCUUGCGCAAUGGGGGCAACCCUGACGCAGCAACGCCGCGUGAGUGAUGAAGGCCUUCGGGUCGUAAAGCUCUGUCAGGCGGGAAGAAAGUUUUCAGGGUGAACAAUCCUGGAGAUUGACGGUACCGUCAAAGGAAGCACCGGCUAACUCCGUGCCAGCAGCCGCGGUAAUACGGAGGGUGCAAGCGUUGUUCGGAAUUAUUGGGCGUAAAGAGCGUGUAGGCGGCCUCGUAAGUCAGAUGUGAAAGCCCUUGGCUUAACCAAGGAAGGGCAUUUGAAACUGCUUGGCUUGAG
This 663-nucleotide ribosomal RNA is filed under the name uncultured delta proteobacterium. Its description in RNAcentral is "bacterial SSU rRNA". It matches the Rfam family "Bacterial small subunit ribosomal RNA", at positions 9 to 646 of the family's 1533-position model. Lineage: Bacteria; Deltaproteobacteria. The record is from RNAcentral.